UACGGAGGGGGCAAGCGUUGUUCGGAAUUACUGGGCGUAAAGGGCUCGUAGGUGGCCAACUAAGUCAGACGUGAAAUCCCUCGGCUUAACCGGGGAACUGCGUCUGAUACUGGAUGGCUUGAGUUUGGGAGAGGGACGCGGAAUUCCAGGUGUAGCGGUGAAAUGCGUAGAUAUCUGGAGGAACACCGGUGGCGAAGGCGGCGUCCUGGACCAACACUGACACUGAGGAGCGAAAGCCAGGGGAGCGAACGGG
This 253-nucleotide ribosomal RNA is filed under the name uncultured bacterium. Its description in RNAcentral is "partial 16S ribosomal RNA". It matches the Rfam family "Bacterial small subunit ribosomal RNA", at positions 524 to 776 of the family's 1533-position model. The record is from RNAcentral.